This 1686-nucleotide long non-coding RNA is filed under the name Ananas comosus (pineapple). RNAcentral's name for it is "long non-coding RNA (ACOM_LNC029725)". The record is from RNAcentral. Lineage: Eukaryota; Viridiplantae; Streptophyta; Magnoliopsida; Poales; Bromeliaceae.
AUUUUAUUAUUAUUUUAUGAACUAAAUUAUAGAAAAUAUUCUUAUAAAUACACAUUUUUUUCACUGUUUUUUAAUUUUUAAAUACUAUAUUUUACUCUCUCUCAAUAUUUGAAAUUGUUGUAUUUUAUUUUUUAUAUUUAUACCGAAAAUAUCCUUUAAAAUAACAAAUAUAUUAAAAAAAUAUUUUUUUAUAAAAUAAAUAAGAAUAAUUUGAUUAUAUUGCCCCCUCUAUUAAUAUCGUGCUUUUCUAAACAUAUUUUUAAAUUUUAAAAAUAUAAAAUAUAAAUUUUUGAAAGUUAAAAAGGUCAAAUAAAAAAACUGAUAUUUACUAGGAGUCCCUGUAAUUUAGCUUUAUUUUAGGAAAAAUUUCAAAUAUCACCUAUGUAGUUUCAUACUUUCUCACUUUAGUACUCUGCGAUUUAAAGUGUAUCAAUUUAGUGUCCUAUGGUUUUAUUUUUAUCUUUUUAUUAUCGAUUCCACUAAUUUUUUUUAUUAAAUUAAUGACAAAGUUAAAACUGAAGGGUAAUGAAGUGAAUAUUCGAUAAACCUAGAUGGGGUUAUUUGAAGUUUUGGUAUAUAAUUUAACAAAAUAUUAACGAAAAAAGCUGACGAAAAGAUAAAAAUAAAACCACAGGACACUACCUUGAUACACUUUAAAUCACAGAAUACUAAAAUAAGAAAGUGCAAAAUUACAGGGGUGGCAUUUAAAGUUUACCUGCGCACGUGAAUGUUGUGGGUAUCGAACAAACCAAUGUCCUCGUGGACCCCAGUGACCCCACCUAACUUUUUUGUAAUAUAGCAAAUUGACAAGGGCUAAAGUGCAUGAUUUUUUUCUCUUAAAAAGGAAUUUCAAAAAGAAAAAAGAAAGAAAGGUUCACGUACGUGUCCAGCCUCAAAGAAAACGUGGGUUUAUUUGUAAAUUUUGUUUUUUUCCCACUUACAGAGGAUUCAUCUGGUAUCAAGGUUUAUCUGACGCUGAUAAAUAAUAAAAUAGAGUUAAAAAGAAAUGGAUAAUUGUCUAUAUACCUCUCAUACGUUUGAAAAUAUUCAAUUUAUUUUUUUUUUCUUUCUAAAAUAUUUUUCAUAUGUUCCACCGUUAUUGCAAAAUACCUCUGCAGUUAUCUCUUGUUAAGUUAAUUUAGGUUAAACGUGAGUUAAAUAUCUACCACAGUUAAAAAAAAUUAAAAUGUCAAUUUUGCCCUUAACUUAAGAGCAAAUAAAAAAUGUUGGUGACGGUAGAAGAGUAUAUUGGAAAAGACCAAAAGUGAAAAUACUUUUUAUGCCCCUGACUUUAAGGGCAAAUAAAAAAAAUAGUAUAUUUGAAAGGACAAAAUAGUAAUUUUACAAAAAUAAAAGAGUUCAUUAAUAGAUUUUAACUCUAGGGUAUAUUAGAAAUAUGUUGAAACAUAGAAAUGGUAUUUUUAAUAUUAGCCUUCUAAGAGGGGUAAAUUGAAAAGUCGAAAAUUUUUCAAGAAUAUAUAAGCAAUUGCCCCUAAAAGAAACAUAUAUAAAAAAAAAUAUAUGGUUUUUUAUUUUUUAAUAGAAUCAUAAAAAUUAUACCGUAAUCAUCUUAUUACAAUAUAUGAAGAACGUGAUAUUAUUAUGUAUAUAAAUAAAUAUAGUAUAUUUUUAAUGAAUAUUUUUAAUUCAUGCACCGCCAUUUCUUCGUAAUCCGAAACGAAGCCC